Molecule: ribosomal RNA, 440 nt
Filed under: uncultured bacterium
Lineage: Bacteria
Description: partial 16S ribosomal RNA
Rfam family: Bacterial small subunit ribosomal RNA
Source: RNAcentral
CCUACGGGAGGCAGCAGUGGGGAAUAUUGGACAAUGGGGGGAACCCUGAUCCAGCGACGCAGCGUGAGUGAAGAAGUAUUUCGGUAUGUUAAGCUCUAUCAGCAGGGAAGAAAAUGACGGUACCUGACUAAGAAGCCCCGGCUAACUACGUGCCAGCAGCCGCGGUAAGACGGAGGGGGCAAGCGUAAUCCGGAUUUACUGGGUGUAAAGGGAGCGUAGACGGUGUAGCAAGUCUGGUGUGAAAGGUCGGGGCCCAACCCCGGGACUGCAUUGGAAACUGUUGAACUGGAGUACAGGUGAGGUAGGCGGAAUUCCUGGUGUAGCGGUGAAAUGCUUAGAUAUUACGAAGAACACCAGUGGCGAAGGCAGCUUACUGGACUGUAACUGACGUUGAGGCUCGAAAGCGUGGGUAGCAAACAGGAUUAGAUACCCUAGUAGUC